RNAcentral lists this ribosomal RNA (538 nucleotides) under uncultured archaeon. Its description in RNAcentral is "bacterial SSU rRNA". It matches the Rfam family "Archaeal small subunit ribosomal RNA", at positions 460 to 997 of the family's 1478-position model. The record is from RNAcentral.
AGCAGCCGCGGUAACACCGGCGGCCCGAGUGGUGAUCGUGAUUAUGGGUCUAAAGGGUCCGUAGCCGGUUUGGUCAGUCCUCCGGGAAAUCUGAUAGCUCAACUAUUAGGCUUUCGGGGGAUACUGCCAGACUGGAACCGGGAGAGGUAAGAGGUACUACAGGGGUAGGAGUGAAAUCUUGUAAUCCCUGUGGGACCACCUGUGGCGAAGGCGUCUUACCAGAACGGGUUCGACGGUGAGGGACGAAAGCUGGGGGCACGAACCGGAUUAGAUACCCGGGUAGUCCCAGCCGUAAACGAUGCUCGCUAGGUGUCAGGCAUGGCGCGACCGUGUCUGGUGCCGCAGGGAAGCCGUGAAGCGAGCCACCUGGGAAGUACGGCCGCAAGGCUGAACUUAAAGGAAUUGGCGGGGGAGCACAACAACGGGUGGAGCCUUGCGGUUUAAUUGGACUCAACGCCGGACAACUCACCGGGGGCGACAGCAAUAUGUAGGCCAAGCUGAAGACUUUGCCUGAAUCGCUGAGAGGAGAGGUGCAUGG